Meleagris gallopavo (turkey) is the source of this 2866-nucleotide non-coding RNA. Lineage: Eukaryota; Metazoa; Chordata; Aves; Galliformes; Phasianidae. The record is from RefSeq and is a predicted model, not a curated record.
GAGCUGUGUACUUAAAAGCUUGCACAGACCUACCCACAACUACUCCUUGGUUCCUGUUAGUGGUGUUAAUCCCUUCCUUUCUAAAGCAACAAGAUAAGAGAAGUUGGAAGCAUUUAUGAUGCAUGAAGAACCUUGUUGAAGGUACCUGUAAGGAGCAGUUAACCCUAAGCAGCCAUACUGCGCAAUCGAGGAAGAGGCACAGAACUGCUUAGAACCAGAGUUUUCUGAUCAUAUCUUCUUAAGCUUCCUGGUUGGUGAGGCUGAUGCUCCCAAAACAGCGAGGUAAUCUUCAUCACAGAGAGGAGGUGUGACAGUUUGCUCAAAUCUGGAUGUGUGUCAGUCUCAGCAUUUCCAGAUAUCCAGGGACUUUAAAUGGGAUAUAUGAAGUUGGUCAUCCCACUAUUCCAUCAAACAAUUUUGGGGUUUUGUUAGCACUUGAGAAGAUGUCAAGCUUCCAGGUUCUUACCUCUGAAUGUCCUCUACCUGGGUCACUCUCUCAGUGGCUUUAAUUGUAAGGAUCUGACAACUGUGCAAGAGCUUUCCAUCCUUGGAACUUACCGUAUUGGAGAUUCUACUCAUUCUCAUCAUAGUGAGCCAUCAAGUGCAUCACUGGGCAGCAUGCAGAGGUGCAGGUCACUUCAGAAGAAGAUGGGUAAUAGUGAAGUGCAGUCACUGGACAACUCCAUGACACGCCAGGCAUCAGAUAAAACUGCUGCUGGGAUGAGGGGCAUGUGGCCAGAAACGUGGCAGCUGGGAGUGGCAUGAGUCCAGGGAGUAUUACGAGGGGAGAUUGCUGUAAUCAGUGGGGAAACCAGCGGCUGAUACCAGACAUGGGCAUUGCUGUCUGCUUUAGGUGGAACUGCAGCUGCUUUUUUACUGAACAGAAUUUUAAUAAUCUUCAGUGAUAUUUUAUUUCUAAUGAGAAUCUUGUAGAGCAUAUUUUAUUCAGACUCCAUCCUCUCCUUUUCUUAGUUAGUUGGGCUACUCUUUUUUUUAGGUACAUGAGACAAUAUAGAAACAGCUUUGUGGCUCAUUUGCAUUUGAUAGCUGUUUCCAGAAUACACUUUUAGCCCACCUUCAUCUAACUCUAACUGCAUUCACAGAGAAGUUUCCAGUACAACUGAUGCUCCGUUGUGAACAUCUAUGUCUAUGUAAAUGAAGCAAUUAGACAACUAUGCUUUGCUGAAUCCUCAUCACACUGUUAUGCUCAUAGAGAUGCUUUCUCUUUGUGAUUUAUAUCUAUACUUGUUCCUCACGCAAAUGCUAUUUUCUAUUAAUAUAUACAAAUAUUCAAAUGACAAAGUGAAGCACAAAUAUAAACCUUGCAAUACAAUGCUGGUGUUGUAAUUUAUUUUUUUUUUAAGCCACAGGAAAGAGUGUGGAUGAAGGUAUGCUGUAAUUAUAAAACAGAUAACAGCCACAUAAUGUGUUAAUGUUUCCCUCUUAUUAAAUGCUGACUUUAAUUAAAUGAACUCUUUACCUAAUAGAAGCAAAAUCGAUUUUGUGAUUUGGAUACUGUCAAUAAAAUCAUGACUAGUGAGAUCAGGUGUUAAUGAUUCAGAACAAAUGUACAAUUAUAAGUUCAAGGCCGUUAGUUGUCACCAAAGAGCAAGGUUUACCAAGAUAUUAAUCCACAAAUUACCCAUUUUUCUGACAAUCACAUUACUAUGAUUGUUGUUAUAAUUAUUAUUACCACUACUAAGACACACUACUUAAUGAGGAAAUCAUUAUCAUCAGGUUGUUCAACUCAUUGCUAAUAAUACCUAAAAUUGGUUCAGAGCUAACAAACUAAAGUGGUAGUUUAUGAUCACAUAAAUCCAAACAUACGGGAGAAUGUUUCUCCUUUCUGAACUACAUACUGAUACUCUGGUUUUCCUCUUUAUCUGUCAGUCAAAAUGAAAUGUAUAUGAGAACAAAACAGCACAGGGUCACCAGCCAAGAGCUUGGCACUUCCUGAGAUGUGGCUAUUAUUUUUGGGACAUAGUUUGAAAUAAAUUGAAGAGGCUUCCUUUCCAAUAAGAUCUAAGGACUGAAAAACAUGCACAACAGCUGACAGCUGAAGGUUGGCCUUCAAAGUUUCUUCCAGAAGAUUUUCUUCCAUAUGUUAUUAAUCUAUUAUAAUCUAUUAGUAAAUGGCAUUACGUAUAUAAGCUAAAAAAAGAAUCAGAAAUUUGUAUUGCACAUUACUUCAGUAUAGAUAUGACACAGCCUGCUGAAGGAAAUUAAUCAAUUUCUUGCCCUUCCAUUUUAAUUUCGAAACUUAGAUCUGUCAGGGUUUUAUAUGUCUGGAACUCUGGCUGUCCCUUUUCAGAACUGCUCCUGUCUCAGCUUCUGACUGGGUAAACUCAAACACAGCACUGCCAAACAUAGAACUGUGGUUACCACUCAUCCUGUCAGACUUCAUUAGUCUUGUUGUACAAUUGUCUGGGAAAAUAUCUACCUAUCUGUUUUGAUUUACUACUGAAAGACGAAUGGUUUCAUUUUAAGUCUAUAAUUAUUUUAUGACCUCUGUUCAGAAAAGAUGCCAGCCUUUUCUUUCUUUUUUUCCUUUUUCUGUUAAGAACUCCUCUCUGACUUCAAUGCGUAUAUUAGCAUGGCCUUCUUAAAUAUUAGACAUAGUUGACAUAGAUCAGCCUGUUAUAUUAAGAAGAACUUAACACACACAUUUUUAUAUUAUUUAGUUUGCUUGCAGUAGAGCAUACAACACAGAGAAUAUCCAAAAGGGAUGUCUUUCAGUGGCAGAGUUCUUGUUUUGAUUUCUAGCCAAGCAGUUACAUGUCCUUCUCAACAGUGAACACCUGCACGAAGAAGAUGAGUAGGUGGGUAUGAACAAAAACUCUGAAAAAUGCCUUUGAAUGUUCCUUGG